CUGGGGAUCGAUCAAGGCAGGGGAGAAAAAGGGUUCAACCCUAGUUGCUAAUUCAGCCAAAUUAAAGGAAAAUUUCAAAGAUUUUUGAUUGCAUGAACUCAAGUUUCGAUCAUCUAAGCUCAUAUAGUGAAGUGGCGUAAAAUAAUAAAGCUCAAACGCUAGGAAAUCGGAAAGCUCACAAGAUCGAGGUAAAUCCUCAACAUAAUGGCUUGGCGACUUGGAACGAACACACAUGAACCACGCCCACUUUGUGCUUCCGAAGAUGUCUAUUUUGUAUGGUCCUAGUUUUUGGUCGUAUGUAUUCCCAACAUGUGUAAACGUUUGGUCGUCAUUGUGUUUUGGCAAAAACUUAGUUUGUUAGUAGACUUUGUAUCUGAACAUGAACAACUGAAACUUGUCUGCUCUUUGGUUUU
Molecule: long non-coding RNA, 413 nt
Organism: Helianthus annuus (common sunflower)
Lineage: Eukaryota; Viridiplantae; Streptophyta; Magnoliopsida; Asterales; Asteraceae
Exons: 3
Source: RefSeq, a predicted model, not a curated record